GGGUCUGUAGCUCAGUUGGUUAGAGCGCUGCCCUGUCACGGCAGAGGUCACGGGUUCGAGUCCCGCCAGUCCCGCCA
This 77-nucleotide transfer RNA is filed under the name Minisyncoccota bacterium. RNAcentral describes it as "tRNA-Asp". It matches the Rfam family "tRNA". From Rfam's summary of the family: Transfer RNA (tRNA) molecules are approximately 80 nucleotides in length. Their secondary structure includes four short double-helical elements and three loops (D, anti-codon, and T loops). Lineage: Bacteria; Bacillati; Minisyncoccota. The record is from RNAcentral.